GAGAGAGCGGCGUACGGGUGCGGUAACACGUUGUGCAACCUGCCUUUAUCUGGGGGAUAGCCUUUCGAAAGGAAGAUUAAUAACCCCAUAAUAUAUUUGAUGGCAUCAUUAGAUAUUGAAAACUCCGGUGGAUAGAGAUGGGCACGCGCAAGAUUAGAUAGUUGGUGGGUAACGGCCCACCAAGUCGAUGAUCUUAGGGGCCUGAGAGGGUGAUCCCCCACACUGGUACUGAGACACGGACCAGACUCCUACGGGAGGCAGCAGUGAGGAAUAUUGGACAAUGGGUGAGAGCCUGAUCCAGCCAUCCCGCGUGAAGGAAUAAGGUCCUAUGGAUUGUAAACUUCUUUUCUACAGGGAUAAACCUAUUUACGUGUAAAUAGCUGAAGGUACUGUAGGAAUAAGCACCGGCUAACUCCGUG
Molecule: ribosomal RNA, 419 nt
Filed under: uncultured bacterium
Lineage: Bacteria
Description: bacterial SSU rRNA
Rfam family: Bacterial small subunit ribosomal RNA
Source: RNAcentral